This 519-nucleotide ribosomal RNA is filed under the name uncultured Glomeraceae. RNAcentral describes it as "SSU rRNA". It matches the Rfam family "Eukaryotic small subunit ribosomal RNA", at positions 569 to 1092 of the family's 1831-position model. Lineage: Eukaryota; Fungi; Glomeromycota; Glomeromycetes; Glomerales; Glomeraceae. The record is from RNAcentral.
GGCAGCCGCGGUAAUUCCAGCUCCAAUAGCGUAUAUUAAAGUUGUUGCAGUUAAAAAGCUCGUAGUUGAAUUUCGGGAUCAAUAUAUCGGUCGUGCCUUUGGUACGUACUGGUAUCAUUGAUUUCUCCUUUCUGACGAAUCAUGAUGUCAUUAAUUUGGUGUUAUGAGGAGUUAGGACUGUUACUUUGAAAAAAUUAGAGUGUUUAAAGCAGGCAUUAGCUUGAAUACAUUAGCAUGGAAUAAUGAAAUAGGACGUUUGACCCUAUUUUGUUGGUUUUAGGAUCGACGUAAUGAUUAAUAGGGAUAGUUGGGGGCAUUAGUAUUCAAUUGUCAGAGGUGAAAUUCUUGGAUUUAUUGAAGACUAAUUACUGCGAAAGCAUUUGCCAAGGAUGUUUUCAUUAAUCAAGAACGAAAGUUAGGGAUCGAAGACGAUCAGAUACCGUCGUAGUCUUAACCAUAAACUAUGCCGACUAGGGAUCGGAUGAUGUUAAUUUAUAAUGACUCAUUCGGCGCCUUAAC